Polypterus senegalus (gray bichir) is the source of this 1259-nucleotide long non-coding RNA. RefSeq lists it as uncharacterized. The transcript has 2 exons. Lineage: Eukaryota; Metazoa; Chordata; Cladistia; Polypteriformes; Polypteridae. The record is from RefSeq and is a predicted model, not a curated record.
AUUUCAGAUACUUACAUUACAGACCAUGAACCUGGCAAAAGUAGUCCUGUCACAAAUGCAGAAGGACAGACCACAUGUGAUGAUACUCCUGAAUCUGUGCAGCAGACUGUGGUUCAGGACACCUCUGAGAAAGGAAGCCUUGAGGAAUCAGAACGAGAAUUCCAAGUAAAUGGUGAAGAAGCAAAAACCUUCCAGCCUACUUGUUUGGGUGACCCUGGUAAAGUCCAAUUAGUAGAUUUUGCUCUUGGUCAUGAAGAAAGUGAUGACUCUGAAAAAGCCCACUCAGGAAGUUCUGGCAUCAGUCAUGAAGAAACAACAGAAGAAUUUGAAGACCACCAAGAACAGGCUUUAUGGGGAGGAUCACAACAGGAGAAUGGUUCACAGGACUCUCAAUCAACGAGCCCUAUCCCUGAUUCUCUGUCUGCAGGAGUAAAGAAACCUGACAUUAACAAGAAUACUCAUUCUAAAUAUAACACAGUGUCAUACCGUAAAAUCAGAAAAGGAAACACCAAGCAGAGAAUUGAUGAGUUUGAAUCAAUGAUGCAUGCAUGAUCUUAUGACAAAAGACUGUUGGGUAUAUAUCAAUAUUUCUAACAGCUGGGAACAAAGCAAGUGUUGCAUUGAAUUAGUGCUCAUUUACAGUAGUUAUUCCCUCUCCUUAAAUAUUUCUCUAGCACACUUGUUAGAAAAAUUGUGAUUGCAGUAUAAAUGAUUUUUAAGUUAAUUAACAGUAAUGAAGCUUUACAAUCUUUGUAAGAUCUGUGAACAUAUUAACAUUUUUAAAUCAGAUCUCUACAUUUUACUUCUACUCUAUUUCAUUGGCAACUAACAGACAUACAUUAUAAAAAGUGUCAUAAAAAUCUAAUCUAAAUCGUUUUAAUCUGAGAAUGUGUCUACUGAUAUAUGUUUAACAGACCCAGGCAAAUGUCAUAACACUGCAAAAUAUUUAAUACAAAUAAUAUUGUAUUAAAUAUUGCAAUAUUGUAUUUUGAAAGGAAAGAGACCUGUUAAUUCAUCAAAUCAUUUUUUUUCUCAUGGAGCUCUCAGAAUUUGUUUUUUUCCUGUUAAAGAGGGCCUAUUGCAUCUUCUUGUGAAGAAAAGUAUUCUCUUGAAUUUAGAAAUUAAGAACAUGCACUUUAGGAAUCUAUUAUGUGGCAACUUAAAACAGGAGCAUUUGCUAUAUUUACAAGAUCUAUUUACUACAAUUUUCCAUGCAGCAAGACUUAAGCAUUGAAAAUAAAAACUGAAACAGUAAUAAA